UACGGAGGGUGCGAGCGUUGUCCGGAUUUAUUGGGUUUAAAGGGUGCGUAGGCGGCCCGGCAAGUUUGGGGUGAAAGCCCGUCGCUCAACGACGGAACGGCCCCGAAAACUGCCGGGCUUGAGUCCAGGCGAGGUCGGCGGAACGGGCGGUGUAGCGGUGAAAUGCAUAGAUACCGCCCAGAACCCCGAUUGCGAAGGCAGCUGACUAGGCUGGCACUGACGCUGAGGCACGAAAGCGUGGGGAGCGAACAGG
RNAcentral lists this ribosomal RNA (253 nucleotides) under uncultured bacterium. Its description in RNAcentral is "partial 16S ribosomal RNA". It matches the Rfam family "Bacterial small subunit ribosomal RNA", at positions 524 to 776 of the family's 1533-position model. The record is from RNAcentral.